GCACCGCUAGCUCAAUGGUAGAGCAGUGGCCUUUUAAGCCAUUGGUUCCGAGUUCGAGUCUCGGGCGGUGUACCA
RNAcentral lists this transfer RNA (75 nucleotides) under Candidatus Berkelbacteria bacterium CG_4_9_14_0_2_um_filter_42_30. RNAcentral's name for it is "tRNA-Lys". It matches the Rfam family "tRNA". From Rfam's summary of the family: Transfer RNA (tRNA) molecules are approximately 80 nucleotides in length. Their secondary structure includes four short double-helical elements and three loops (D, anti-codon, and T loops). The record is from RNAcentral. Lineage: Bacteria; Candidatus Berkelbacteria. RNAcentral also lists the same sequence under 2 other names.